This 301-nucleotide ribosomal RNA is filed under the name uncultured bacterium. Its description in RNAcentral is "partial 16S ribosomal RNA". It matches the Rfam family "Bacterial small subunit ribosomal RNA", at positions 509 to 807 of the family's 1533-position model. The record is from RNAcentral.
CAGUCGCCACGGGAAUACGAAGGGUGCAAGCGUUAAUCGGAAUUACUGGGCGUAAAGCGUGUGUAGGUGGUUGUUUAAGUCUGUCGUGAAAGCCCUGGGCUCAACCUGGGAAUUGCGAUGGAUACUGGGCGACUAGAGUGCGGUAGAGGAUAGUGGAAUUUCCGGUGUAGCAGUGAAAUGCGUAGAGAUCGGAAGGAACAUCUGUGGCGAAGGCGACUAUCUGGGCCAACACUGACACUGAGACACGAAAGCGUGGGGAGCAAACAGGAUUAGAGACCCCUGUAGUCCCUGUCUCUUAUAC